Molecule: ribosomal RNA, 451 nt
Filed under: uncultured bacterium
Lineage: Bacteria
Description: partial 16S ribosomal RNA
Rfam family: Bacterial small subunit ribosomal RNA
Source: RNAcentral
GUGGGGAAUAUUGGACAAUGGGGGGAACCCUGAUCCAGCCAUGCCGCGUGUGUGAAGAAGGCCUUUUGGUUGUAAAGCACUUUAAGCGAGGAGGAGGCUACCGAGAUUAAUACUCUUGGAUAGUGGACGUUACUCGCAGAAUAAGCACCGGCUAACUCUGUGCCAGCAGCCGCGGUAAUACAGAGGGUGCAAGCGUUAAUCGGAUUUACUGGGCGUAAAGCGCGCGUAGGUGGCCAAUUAAGUCAAAUGUGAAAUCCCCGAGCUUAACUUGGGAAUUGCAUUCGAUACUGGUUGGCUAGAGUAUGGGAGAGGAUGGUAGAAUUCCAGGUGUAGCGGUGAAAUGCGUAGAGAUCUGGAGGAAUACCGAUGGCGAAGGCAGCCAUCUGGCCUAAUACUGACACUGAGGUGUGAAAGCAUGGGGAGCAAACAGGAUUAGAAACCCGUGUAGUCC